CAUUUGGUGUUUCUCAGUGGGGUUUGUGGAUGUCCCGCAUCAGAACCACCUGGGGUCUGGCCAGGCCGACUGGAUCUGAAAGGGGUGGGAGCUGCAGAGGGGUCUGUUUGUUUUUCAAGCCCUCCUGGAGAUUCUCUCACCAGAGUUCAAGAGGCACUGCUCUAAUUUUUUUUUUCUUCUUUUAGAGGCUGGGUCUCACUAUGUUGCUUAGGCUGGUCUUGAACUCCUGGCCUCAAGCUAUUGUCCGGCCUCAGUCUCUGAGUGGUUGGGAUUACAGGCAGAACAACUGUGCCCGGCUCACACUGCUCUAAUUCCUGAUACCCACCCAGCUAAGUUCCUGAUUCUGCUUUACACCCUUUGCCCUUUCUCUUAGGGAGUUCAUACUCUCCAGCAGGCUUUGUUCUUCUGCUACCCAGAGGCCCCCCUCCAGCUCCCACCUCUUAUCUAGCAUCCAGCCUUCUAUUUGCAGUUAUUCCCAGGGAAUCUCCUGCAUGCUGGGUGUGACCACCCACACUUGUCAUCUCUUGGAACAACAUCCCCAGGAGCCAGAUCUGCUGUUAGAGGAGAAUUCUUCUGUCCUAGCUGUGUCUCUGUGAUCUGUGGAUGAGGGUGGGAAAGCACCACUCAGUCAAUUGGGGUGUACAAAAUGGAGUUUGAGAAGGUCUCACAUCCAGGUUGUUUUGAAGCAAAGUCCAAGCAUUGUAUCACUUCAUCUGCAAAUAUUUCAAUAAGUACCCAAAAGACUUCCUAGGAUAGAGCUUGGAAAGGUUGGAAAAGUAAGGAUGAUUGAACUUGAAAGGUGUGAAUGAAAGAAGAAUUAUCUUUUGGGAUGGAGAAUAGUAGCUGUUUUCAAAGAAGAUUUUAUUUUAUCUUUCAUUUUUGGCCUAUAAGUUUUGCAGAGAAUCUGUGAUUAGAGUAUUUAGUAAAGUACUAUGUAAUUAUUGUUCUGUUAUUUGGACACAUGUUUAAACUAGAAUUUUGAAGAUAGCAAUUAGCAAUAAUUAUGUAUGUUCUAGCCACUUUAUUCAUUCUACCUCUUUUACCAUAUACUUUAAAGAUAUCUAUAUGGUAAAAGGUAAGUGGCAACUGAAUAAUCACAAAUACAUCAACAAGUAAAGAGAUGCUUUGUUUUAUUGA
Molecule: long non-coding RNA, 1137 nt
Filed under: Homo sapiens (human)
Lineage: Eukaryota; Metazoa; Chordata; Mammalia; Primates; Hominidae
Description: long intergenic non-protein coding RNA 1091
Source: RNAcentral